RNAcentral lists this ribosomal RNA (500 nucleotides) under uncultured bacterium. Its description in RNAcentral is "partial 16S ribosomal RNA". It matches the Rfam family "Bacterial small subunit ribosomal RNA", at positions 29 to 523 of the family's 1533-position model. The record is from RNAcentral.
AUUGAACGCUGGCGGAAUGCUUUACACAUGCAAGUCGAGCGGCAGCGCGGGGGCAACCCUGGCGGCGAGCGGCGAACGGGUGAGUAACACAUCGGAACGUACCCAGUUGUGGGGGAUAGCCCGGCGAAAGCCGGAUUAAUACCGCAUCCGCACUGAGGGUGAACGGGGGGGAUCGCAAGACCCAUCGCAGUUGGAGCGGCCCAUGGCGGAUUAGCUAGUUGGUGAGGUAAAGGCUCACCAAGGCGACGAUCCGGAGCUGGUCUGAGAGGACGACCAGCCACACUGGAACUGAAACACGGUCCAGACGCCUACGGGAGGCAGCAGUGGGGAAUUUUGGACAAUGGGGGCAACCCUGAUCCAGCCAUUCCGCGUGAGUGAAGAAGGCCUGCGGGUUGUAAAGCUCUUUCGGCAGGAACGAAACGGUGGAGGCUAAUACCUUUCAUCAAUGACGGUACCUGAAGAAGAAGCACCGGCUAACUACGUGCCAGCCGCCGCAGUAA